RNAcentral lists this small RNA (432 nucleotides) under Pan troglodytes (chimpanzee). RNAcentral's name for it is "retained intron". The record is from RNAcentral. Lineage: Eukaryota; Metazoa; Chordata; Mammalia; Primates; Hominidae.
UUCCACAAGGCAUAUGCCCAGUUGGUCGAUCUUGGCACUCACUAACACCAGUUUCUUCAGAUCAUCUUUUUCUCUUUGGAGGAUUUACCACUGAUAAACAGCCACUAAGUGAUGCCUGGACUUACUGCAUCAGUAAAAAUGAAUGGAUACAAUUUAAUCAUCCAUAUACUGAAAAACCAAGGUUAUGGCACACAGCUUGUGCCAGCGAUGAAGGAGAAGUAAUUGUUUUUGGUGGAUGUGCCAACAACUUGCUUGUCCAUCACAGAGCUGCACACAGUAAUGAAAUACUAAUAUUUUCAGUUCAACCAAAAUCUCUUGUACGGUAAGUAACUUUGUACUUGGCACUUAUUUAAAAUUGUGUUUCCUAAGACUUAGCACUCUCGAAAAACUAGGUUUAUGGAUUAUUUAAGGGCAAUAAAACUUCAUUGCUAU